GGAGGGUGCAAGCGUUAAUCGGAAUUACUGGGCGUAAAGCGCACGCAGGCGGUUUGUUAAGUCAGAUGUGAAAGCCCCGGGCUCAACCUGGGAACUGCAUUUGAUACUGGCAAACUAGAGUAUGGGAGAGAGAAGUGGAAUUCCACAUGUAGCGGUGAAAUGCGUAGAGAUGUGGAGGAACAUCAGUGGCGAAGGCGACUUCUUGGCCCAAUACUGACGCUCAGGUGCGAAAGCGUGGGGAGCAAACAGGAUUAGAUACCCUGGUAGUCCACGCCCGUAAACGAUGUCUACUAGCCGUUGGGGGGCUUGACCCUUUAGUGGCGCAGCUAACGCCAUAAGUAGACCCGCCUGGGAGUACGGCCGCAAGGCUA
This 371-nucleotide ribosomal RNA is filed under the name uncultured organism. RNAcentral's name for it is "partial 16S ribosomal RNA". It matches the Rfam family "Bacterial small subunit ribosomal RNA", at positions 527 to 896 of the family's 1533-position model. The record is from RNAcentral.